RNAcentral lists this ribosomal RNA (486 nucleotides) under uncultured bacterium. RNAcentral describes it as "partial 16S ribosomal RNA". It matches the Rfam family "Bacterial small subunit ribosomal RNA", at positions 30 to 507 of the family's 1533-position model. The record is from RNAcentral.
AUUGAACGCUGGCGGCAUGCCUUACACAUGCAAGUCGAACGGCAGCACGGGUGCUUGCACCUGGUGGCGAGUGGCGAACGGGUGAGUAAUACAUCGGAACAUGUCCUGUAGUGGGGGAUAGCCCGGCGAAAGCCGGAUUAAUACCGCAUACGAUCUACGGAUGAAAGCGGGGGACCUUCGGGCCUCGCGCUAUAGGGUUGGCCGAUGGCUGAUUAGCUAGUUGGUGGGGUAAAGGCCUACCAAGGCGACGAUCAGUAGCUGGUCUGAGAGGACGACCAGCCACACUGGGACUGAGACACGGCCCAGACUCCUACGGGAGACAGCAGUGGGGAAUUUUGGACAAUGGGCGAAAGCCUGAUCCAGCAAUGCCGCGUGUGUGAAGAAGGCCUUCGGGUUGUAAAGCACUUUUGUCCGGAAAGAAAUCCUUGGCCCUAAUACGGUCGGGGGAUGACGGUACCGGAAGAAUAAGCACCGGCUAACUACGUG